RNAcentral lists this long non-coding RNA (817 nucleotides) under Nicotiana benthamiana. Its description in RNAcentral is "long non-coding RNA (NBEN_LNC042689)". Lineage: Eukaryota; Viridiplantae; Streptophyta; Magnoliopsida; Solanales; Solanaceae. The record is from RNAcentral.
UGCAUCCCAGAAAUAGGAAACUGGAAUUUUGCUAGGUUUGUUGGUAGAGAUUGUUCUCCAUCAUCGGGCGCACCUCUCCACCAAAUUUCAGACAAUUCAAAUCGUCAUUUCCGACGAGUUGCAGAUCUCCCGUGUAACAAAAAUGGCCUACCAUGGAGUUCUAGGUAUUAAUUUGGGGAAAACUCGAUACUGGUAGCGCGAUUAGGAGAACCCGUUUGCACCUCCAAUUUCCCAUAGGUAUCAACCACCAGCUUUAAUUUUGGAAUCAAAGAUCACUGGUAGCACAAACACACCAGGUGUUUGACAAAAUGACACUUUCAUUUUUGGGGCUAAUUGUGGCCAACUAACCAUUGGAAUUUCUUUUACAACACCUAAGGGGAAGGUUUGCAAAGUUUCAGACCAAUCCAAUAAGGUAAUUGAUCACCAUGAGAGCCAGAAAUGCACCAGUUGGCAGGAGAUGAUGUUCUGGUGAUCCAAAACGGCCAAUGCCAAUGCCAAAUAGUUUGUUACGCCGAGGAUAUUGAUAAUUUUCUAUUAGACUGCCCCAAGAAUAAAGCAAUCGAUGCAACAAUGAAAAAAAUGACUUCACCAAACUUAACUAUUUCAGAACUAAAGUGAAGGAAUUAGGGGUUGGGUUAAAAGAUUGGUUUGUUUUAUCGGGUUGGUAUGGGUAAUUAAACAUAACCAGAUGUUAAACGAAAUGUAUGGUCAGAUAAAGAAAAACCAAUAAUAUAAAGACACGUAAAAAUAUGGGGUCAAACAAUUAAUUCUAUGUUAUGAAAUAAUAUAAAGACAAGAACAAUAAUGUAAGAAUAAG